RNAcentral lists this ribosomal RNA (460 nucleotides) under uncultured bacterium. Its description in RNAcentral is "partial 16S ribosomal RNA". It matches the Rfam family "Bacterial small subunit ribosomal RNA", at positions 338 to 795 of the family's 1533-position model. The record is from RNAcentral.
CCUACGGGAGGCAGCAGUGAGGAAUAUUGGUCAAUGGGCGGAAGCCUGAACCAGCCAAGUCGCGUGAGGGAAUAAGGCCCUACGGGUCGUAAACCUCUUUUGCCGGGGAGCAAGGGCGGGGACGUGUCCCGGCCCGGAGAGUACCCGGAGAAAAAGCAUCGGCUAACUCCGUGCCAGAAGCCGCGGUAAUACGGAGGAUGCGAGCGUUAUCCGGAUUUAUGGGGUUUAAAGGGUGCGUAGGCGGGCUUUUAAGUCAGCGGUAAAAAUUCGGGGCUCAACCCCGUCCGGCCGUUGAAACUGGGGGCCUUGAGUGGGCGAGAAGAAGGCGGAAUGCGUGGUGUAGCGGUGAAAUGCAUAGAUAUCACGCAGAACCCCGAGUGCGAAGGCAGCCCUCCGGCGCCCUACUGACGCUGAGGCACGAAAGUGCGGGGAUCGAACAGGAUUAGAUACCCGGGUAGUC